RNAcentral lists this small RNA (81 nucleotides) under Drosophila guanche. The record is from RNAcentral. Lineage: Eukaryota; Metazoa; Arthropoda; Insecta; Diptera; Drosophilidae.
CUGCUGCUGUUGUUGCAGAAGCAACUGUUGCUGCUGCUGUUGCUGCAUCUGUUGUUGCUGCAUCUGUUGCUGUUGCAGCUG